RNAcentral lists this ribosomal RNA (405 nucleotides) under uncultured Eubacteriales bacterium. Its description in RNAcentral is "bacterial SSU rRNA". It matches the Rfam family "Bacterial small subunit ribosomal RNA", at positions 355 to 776 of the family's 1533-position model. Lineage: Bacteria; Bacillati; Bacillota; Clostridia; Eubacteriales. The record is from RNAcentral.
UCGGGAAUAUUGCGCAAUGGAGGAAACUCUGACGCAGUGACGCCGCGUAUAGGAAGAAGGUUUUCGGAUUGUAAACUAUUGUCGUUAGGGAAGAGAAAGGACAGUACCUAAGGAGGAAGCUCCGGCUAACUACGUGCCAGCAGCCGCGGUAAUACGUAGGGAGCGAGCGUUAUCCGGAAUUAUUGGGUGUAAAGGGUGCGUAGACGGGAAGAUAAGUUAGUUGUGAAAUCCCUCGGCUUAACUGAGGAACUGCAACUAAAACUGUUUUUCUUGAGUGCAGGAGAGGUAAGUGGAAUUCCUAGUGUAGCGGUGAAAUGCGUAGAUAUUAGGAGGAACACCAGUGGCGAAGGCGACUUACUGGACUGUAACUGACGUUGAGGCACGAAAGUGUGGGGAGCAAACAGG